UAGGGAAUCUUCCACAAUGGACGCAAGUCUGAUGGAGCAACGCCGCGUGAGUGAAGAAGGGUUUCGGCUCGUAAAGCUCUGUUGGUAGUGAAGAAAGAUAGAGGUAGUAACUGGCCUUUAUUUGACGGUAAUUACUUAGAAAGUCACGGCUAACUACGUGCCAGCAGCCGCGGUAAUACGUAGGUGGCAAGCGUUGUCCGGAUUUAUUGGGCGUAAAGCGAGUGCAGGCGGUUCAAUAAGUCUGAUGUGAAAGCCUUCGGCUCAACCGGAGAAUUGCAUCAGAAACUGUUGAACUUGAGUGCAGAAGAGGAGAGUGGAACUCCAUGUGUAGCGGUGGAAUGCGUAGAUAUAUGGAAGAACACCAGUGGCGAAGGCGGCUCUCUGGUCUGCAACUGACGCUGAGGCUCGAAAGCAUGGGUAGCGAACAGGAUUAGAUACCCUGGUAGUCCAUGCCGUAAACGACGAGUGCUAAGUGUUGGGAGGUUUCCGCCUCUCAGUGCUGCAGCUAACGCAUUAAGCACUCCGCCUGGGGAGUACGACCGCAAGGUUG
This 550-nucleotide ribosomal RNA is filed under the name uncultured bacterium. RNAcentral describes it as "bacterial SSU rRNA". It matches the Rfam family "Bacterial small subunit ribosomal RNA", at positions 355 to 896 of the family's 1533-position model. The record is from RNAcentral.